CUACGGGCCGCUCCAGUCGAGAAUCUUCCGCAAUGGACGAAAGUCUGACGGAGCGACGCCGCGUGCGGGAUGAAGGCCUUCGGGUUGUAAACCGCUGUCAGUGGGGAGGAAAUGCAUCAGGGUUCUCCCUGGUGUUUGACCGAUCCGCAGAGGAAGCGCAGGCUAAGUUCGUGCCAGCAGCCGCGGUAACACGAACUGCGCGAACGUUAUUCGGAAUCACUGGGCUUAAAGAGUUCGUAGGCGGCCUUUCAAGUCGGGUGUGAAAUCCCUCGGCUCAACCGGGGAAUUGCGCCUGAUACUGUUGGGCUUGAGGGGGAUAGGGGUGAGCGGAACUGAUGGUGGAGCGGUGAAAUGCGUUGAUAUCAUCAGGAACACCGGUGGCGAAGGCGGCUCACUGGAUCUCUUCUGACGCUGAGGAACGAAAGCUAGGGGAGCGAACGGGAUUAGAUACCCGCGUAGUC
Molecule: ribosomal RNA, 461 nt
Filed under: uncultured bacterium
Lineage: Bacteria
Description: partial 16S ribosomal RNA
Rfam family: Bacterial small subunit ribosomal RNA
Source: RNAcentral